Molecule: transfer RNA, 76 nt
Filed under: Deinococcus koreensis
Lineage: Bacteria; Thermotogati; Deinococcota; Deinococci; Deinococcales; Deinococcaceae
Description: tRNA-Arg
Rfam family: tRNA
About the family: Transfer RNA (tRNA) molecules are approximately 80 nucleotides in length.
Source: RNAcentral
GAACCGGUAGCUCAGCUGGAGGAGCGCCCUGCUACGAACGGGGAGGCCACAGGUUCAACUCCUGUCCGGUUCACCA